This is a non-coding RNA of Pelobates cultripes (western spadefoot toad), 276 nucleotides long. NCBI's taxonomy places the organism in Eukaryota, Metazoa, Chordata, Amphibia, Anura, Pelobatidae. The record is from the annotation of a GenBank genome assembly.
GUCAGAUUUAAUGUGUAUGGGCAUAAUUACUUUGGCUAGGGCAUGUUCCCCCCACCAUAAACCUUCCAACCUUGUCCUGAGCUGCAUAUCCCCACACAACCAAUAUAUGUCUCCCAUUUAACCUGAUUUUGCAGUAAGGCAGCUGGAACUUUGCUAUAAGUGGCACAAUAUUUACCGGUGAAAAUACCCCAAAACCUUCCUAUUCCUCCAUAUAUACCAUAACAAAUAUAGUUCCCUGGACAGAUGGUGAUACCCUCAUCUGGUUUGGGGUUCUUA